UACGUAGGGUGCAAGCGUUGUCCGGAAUUAUUGGGCGUAAAGAGCUCGUAGGCGGUCUGUCGCGUCUGGUGUGAAAAUCCGGGGCUCAACCCCGGACUUGCAGUGGGUACGGGCAGGCUGGAGUGUGGUAGGGGAGACUGGAAUUCCUGGUGUAGCGGUGGAAUGCGCAGAUAUCAGGAGGAACACCGAUGGCGAAGGCAGGUCUCUGGGCCACUACUGACGCUGAGAAGCGAAAGCAUGGGUAGCGAACAGG
RNAcentral lists this ribosomal RNA (253 nucleotides) under uncultured bacterium. RNAcentral describes it as "partial 16S ribosomal RNA". It matches the Rfam family "Bacterial small subunit ribosomal RNA", at positions 524 to 776 of the family's 1533-position model. The record is from RNAcentral.